Molecule: long non-coding RNA, 330 nt
Filed under: Moschus moschiferus (Siberian musk deer)
Lineage: Eukaryota; Metazoa; Chordata; Mammalia; Artiodactyla; Moschidae
Description: lncRNA (ENSMMSG00000008873.1)
Source: RNAcentral
UCAGCGGCAGCAGAGUGGGUGAGAGUCCAACCUGGGCCUGGGCGCCGGGCUUAAGCCGGCAGCGCCAGGCGGGGAUUUCAGAAGACUGUCUGCGCCGCAAGGGCACUGCAUGCCCGGAAGCUGCGGCACUUCCCGAUUUUCCGCGGCUCUAUAAGGAGUAGCGCUUCGGUAGCCGGGGAGCUGGAGGGGAACCUGAUUUGAGAUCAAUUCUUGGAGAACACAAAGAAGUGUGGUGGUAUGUUCCAGGCACUGAUGUAUGAAAUCCCGAACGAAUUCUCCGAUGAACAUACUGCUAAUUGCUUCUCCACCUGCUCUCCAACCUCCGCCACC